This 63-nucleotide transfer RNA is filed under the name Hermetia illucens (black soldier fly). RNAcentral describes it as "tRNA-Ala". The record is from RNAcentral. Lineage: Eukaryota; Metazoa; Arthropoda; Insecta; Diptera; Stratiomyidae.
AGGGUUGUAGUUAAUUAUAACAUUUGAUUUGCAUUCAAAAAGUACUAUGCUUUAGUCUUCCUU